Molecule: non-coding RNA, 29 nt
Filed under: Mus musculus (house mouse)
Lineage: Eukaryota; Metazoa; Chordata; Mammalia; Rodentia; Muridae
Source: RNAcentral
UNGGAGAGGCUAAUCAGAUGGUCCCGUCC